CCUACGGGGGGCAGCAGUGAGGAAUAUUGGUCAAUGGCCGGAAGGCUGAACCAGCCAUGCCGCGUGAAGGUCAGUGCCCUAUGGGCGUUAAACUUCUUUUGUGCGGGAGCAAUAAUGGUCACGUGUGGCCAGACGAGAGUACCGUACGAAUAAGCAUCGGCUAACUCCGUGCCAGCAGCCGCGGUAAUACGGGGGAUGCAAGCGUUAUCCGGAUUUAUUGGGUUUAAAGGGUGCGUAGGCUGGGAGGUAAGUCAGCGGUGAAAUGCCCCCGCUCAACGGGGUGAAGUGCCAUUGAUACUGCCUGGCUGGAAUGCGGAUGCCGUGGGAGGAAUGUGUGGUGUAGCGGUGAAAUGCAUAGAUAUCACACAGAACACCGAUUGCGAAGGCAUCUCACGAAUCCGCGAUUGACGCUGAUGCACGAAAGCGUGGGUAUCAAACAGGAUUAGAUACCCUAGUAGUC
RNAcentral lists this ribosomal RNA (460 nucleotides) under uncultured bacterium. RNAcentral's name for it is "partial 16S ribosomal RNA". It matches the Rfam family "Bacterial small subunit ribosomal RNA", at positions 338 to 795 of the family's 1533-position model. The record is from RNAcentral.